This 492-nucleotide ribosomal RNA is filed under the name uncultured bacterium. Its description in RNAcentral is "partial 16S ribosomal RNA". It matches the Rfam family "Bacterial small subunit ribosomal RNA", at positions 29 to 507 of the family's 1533-position model. The record is from RNAcentral.
AGUGAACGCUGGCGGUAGGCCUAACACAUGCAAGUCGAACGGCAGCACAGUAAGAGCUUGCUCUUACGGGUGGCGAGUGGAGGACGGGUGAGGAAUACAUCGGAAGCUACUUUUUCGUGGGGGAUAACGUAGGGAAACUUACGCUAAUACCGCAUACGACCUACGGGUGAAAGCAGGGGAUCUUCUGACCUUGCGCGAUUGAAUGAGCCGAUGUCGGAUUAGCUAGUUGGCGGGGUAAAGGCCCACCAAGGCGACGAUCCGUAGCUGGUCUGAGAGGAUGAUCAGCCACACUGGAACUGAGACACGGUCCAGACUCCUACGGGAGGCAGCAGUGGGGAAUAUUGGACAAUGGGCGCAAGCCUGAUCCAGCAAUACCGCGUGGGUGAAGAAGGCCUUCGGGUUGUAAAGCCCUUUUGUUGGGAAAGAAAAGCAGCAGGUUAAUACCCCGCUGUUCUGACGGUACCCAAAGAAUAAGCACCGGCUAACUUCGUG